CAAUAGCGUAUAUUAAUGUUGUUGCAGUUAAAAAGCUCGUAGUUGGAUUUCUGGUGGGAGCGGCCGGUCCGCCGUAAGGUGUGUACUUGGUUGUCUCCUGUCAUCCUUGUGGGAACUGCUCUGGCAUUAAGUUGUCGGGGUUAGGGAACACAUCGUUUACUGUGAAAAAAUUAGAGUGUUUAAAGCAGGCUUAUGCCGUUGAAUACAUUAGCAUGGAAUAUAAGAUAGGACUUUGGCGUCUAUUUUGUUGGUUUGCACACCAAGGUAAUGAUUAAUAGGGAUAGUUGGGGGUAUUCGUAUUUAAUUGUCAGAGGUGAAAUUCUUGGAUUUAUGAAAGACGAACUUCUGCGAAAGCAUUUACCAAAGAUGUUUUCAUUA
This 378-nucleotide ribosomal RNA is filed under the name uncultured eukaryote. RNAcentral describes it as "partial 18S ribosomal RNA". It matches the Rfam family "Eukaryotic small subunit ribosomal RNA", at positions 592 to 975 of the family's 1831-position model. The record is from RNAcentral.